CUACGUGCCAGCAGCCGCGGUAAUACGUAGGGAGCGAGCGUUAUCCGGAUUUACUGGGUGUAAAGGGCGUGUAGGCGGGCUGGCAAGUCAGAUGUGAAAACCAGGGGCUCAACCUCUGGCCUGCAUUUGAAACUGCUGGUCUUGAGUGCUGGAGAGGCAAUCGGAAUUCCGUGUGUAGCGGUGAAAUGCGUAGAUAUACGGAGGAACACCAGUGGCGAAGGCGGAUUGCUGGACAGUAACUGACGCUGAGGCGCGAAAGCGUGGGGAGCA
This 270-nucleotide ribosomal RNA is filed under the name uncultured bacterium. RNAcentral describes it as "partial 16S ribosomal RNA". It matches the Rfam family "Bacterial small subunit ribosomal RNA", at positions 501 to 770 of the family's 1533-position model. The record is from RNAcentral.